UUUAAAUAACUUUAGCACACAUAUACAAUUUGCCAUAAGAAACAUACUAAAUUAAUCAUACCGUAAUACAAGUAACAAAAUCAAAAGAUCACUAUGUUCCAUAUCAUCAUCUAUAUAUAAAUAUCUAAUUAUCAUUAAUUUAGCAUCAUCUAGGCAAAUCUAAAAGAAAAAAAUCCCACUCAAAUAAGCAAUUACAAAAUGAAUUGAUGACUAAACAUAUAUAUCAUUCGUUACAUCAUGCUUGAAAUAACAUAGCA
Molecule: long non-coding RNA, 257 nt
Filed under: Elaeis guineensis (African oil palm)
Lineage: Eukaryota; Viridiplantae; Streptophyta; Magnoliopsida; Arecales; Arecaceae
Description: long non-coding RNA (EGUI_LNC031759)
Source: RNAcentral